Molecule: ribosomal RNA, 850 nt
Filed under: uncultured bacterium
Lineage: Bacteria
Description: bacterial SSU rRNA
Rfam family: Bacterial small subunit ribosomal RNA
Source: RNAcentral
CUACCUGCAGGUCGAACGAGAAAGUCCGCAAGGAUGAGUAAAGUGGCGUACGGGUGAGUAACACGUUGGAUAACCUGCCCUUUAGUGGGGAAUACCGCUGGGAAACCGGCGACAAUACCGCAUAAGCUCGAGAGAGGAAAGCAGCAAUGCGCUGAAGGAGGGGUCCGCGGCCGAUUAGCUAGUUGGCAGGGUAAAAGCCUACCAAGGCUGUGAUCGGUAGCCGGCCUGAGAGGGCACACGGCCACACUGGCACUGAAACACGGGCCAGACUCCUACGGGAGGCAGCAGUGGGGAAUCUUGCACAAUGGGGGAAACCCUGAUGCAGCGACGCCGCGUGAGCGAUGAAGCCCUUCGGGGUGUAAAGCUGUUUCGGCAGGGACGAUUAUGACGGUACCUGCAGAAGCAGCUGCGGCUAACUACGUGCCAGCAGCCGCGGUAAUACGUAGGCAGCAAGCGUUGUUCGGAGUUACUGGGCGUAAAGGGUGCGUAGGCGGCUUCUUAAGUCUGGUGUGAAAUCUCCCGGCUCAACUGGGAGGGUGCGCCGGAUACUGAGGGGCUAGAGUGUGGGAGAGGAAAGUGGAAUUCCUGGUGUAGCGGUGAAAUGCGUAGAUAUCAGGAGGAACACCGGUGGUGUAAACGGCUUUCUGGACCAUUACUGACGCUGAUGCACGAAAGCGUGGGUAGCAAACAGGAUUAGAUACCCUGGUAGUCCACGCCCUAAACGAUGCAUAUUUGGUGUGGGCCAUUCAUUUGGUCCGUGCCGGAGCUAACGCGUUAAAUAUGCCGCCUGGGGAGUACAGUCGCAAGGCUGAAACUCAAAGGAAUUGACGGGGGCCCGCACAAGCGGUGG